GACGAACGCUGGCGGCGUGCCUAAUACAUGCAAGUCGAGCGGACCGACGGGAGCUUGCUCCCUUAGGUCAGCGGCGGACGGGUGAGUAACACGUGGGUAACCUGCCUGUAAGACUGGGAUAACUCCGGGAAACCGGGGCUAAUACCGGAUGCUUGAUUGAACCGCAUGGUUCCAAUCAUAAAAGGUGGCUUUCAGCUACCACUUACUGAUGGACCCGCGGCGCAUUAGCUAGUUGGUGAGGUAACGGCUCACCAAGGCGACGAUGCGUAGCCGACCUGAGAGGGUGAUCGGCCACACUGGGACUGAGACACGGCCCAGACUCCUACGGGAGGCAGCAGUAGGGAAUCUUCCGCAAUGGACGAAAGUCUGACGGAGCAACGCCGCGUGAGUGAUGAAGGUUUUCGGAUCGUAAAACUCUGUUGUUAGGGAAGAACAAGUACCGUUCGAAUAGGGCGGCACCUUGACGGUACCUAACCAGAAAGCCACGGCUAACUACGUGCCAGCAGCCGCGGUAAUACGUAGGUGGCAAGCGUUGUCCGGAAUUAUUGGGCGUAAAGCGCGCGCAGGCGGUUUCUUAAGUCUGAUGUGAAAGCCCCCGGCUCAACCGGGGAGGGUCAUUGGAAACUGGGGAACUUGAGUGCAGAAGAGGAGAGUGGAAUUCCACGUGUAGCGGUGAAAUGCGUAGAGAUGUGGAGGAACACCAGUGGCGAAGGCGACUCUCUGGUCUGUAACUGACGCUGAGGCGCGAAAGCGUGGGGAGCGAACAGG
This 768-nucleotide ribosomal RNA is filed under the name uncultured Bacilli bacterium. RNAcentral's name for it is "bacterial SSU rRNA". It matches the Rfam family "Bacterial small subunit ribosomal RNA", at positions 28 to 776 of the family's 1533-position model. The record is from RNAcentral. Lineage: Bacteria; Bacillati; Bacillota; Bacilli.